GACGAACGCUGGCGGCGCGCCUAACACAUGCAAGUCGAACGAGCGAGAGAGAGCUUGCUUUCUCGAGCGAGUGGCGAACGGGUGAGUAACGCGUGAGGAACCUGCCUCAAAGAGGGGGACAACAGUUGGAAACGACUGCUAAUACCGCAUAAGCCCACGGCUCGGCAUCGAGCAGGGGGAAAAGGAGCAAUCCGCUUUGAGAUGGCCUCGCGUCCGAUUAGCUAGUUGGUGAGGUAACGGCCCACCAAGGCGACGAUCGGUAGCCGGACUGAGAGGUUGAACGGCCACAUUGGGACUGAGACACGGCCCAGACUCCUACGGGAGGCAGCAGUGGGGAAUAUUGCACAAUGGGGGAAACCCUGAUGCAGCGACGCCGCGUGGAGGAAGAAGGUCUUCGGAUUGUAAACUCCUGUUGUUGGGGAAGAUAAUGACGGUACCCAACAAGGAAGUGAUGGCUAACUACGUG
Molecule: ribosomal RNA, 466 nt
Filed under: uncultured bacterium
Lineage: Bacteria
Description: partial 16S ribosomal RNA
Rfam family: Bacterial small subunit ribosomal RNA
Source: RNAcentral